AUCGAUCACAGAUUUACUGAGGCAGAGAUGGAGAAGACGAGUGCGGCAUAUUUUUCACCCGCUGAGCAGCAACUAAUUAUGGAAAUGUAUGAGGAGGUAAAGCAUAUAAUAUGCAGAAAAGGAAAUACGGCUGCUGUUAUUAAACAGAGAGAAAAAGCCUGGCAAACAAUAGUGGACCGACUGAAUGCAACAAAUGUGACUGGGCAAAAAUGAACCUGGCAACAAGUCAAGAUCAAAUAUAAAAACUGUUUGCAGGCUGCAGUUAGAAGACUCAUUUGUCUGGCACUGGGGGGGGGGGGCACCAGCUCCAGACUUCACCCCAGCUGAGGAAACGGCCCUUGACUUAAACCAAGGAAGGCCUGUGAUGGAAGGGAUUCAGGGUGGGACAGCUAUAGACUCUGAUUCACCUGCAGAAACUGCCCUCUUCAUACGAGUGUCCGGCGACACAGUCACUCUCAUGCCACCAGACGAUGAUCCAGUGAGUAUUAUUUAUUAAAAGCAUCUGGCUUGGCACAUCCUGUCAAUAUAAAUUAUAUUUAAUAUGGCAGGGGGAAGGGGCUGCUGCAGCUGAUGAUGAGGAGAUGUGUCACUGGACUCCAGAAGGCCUGAGGUAUCAUGUCAAUCUAAUGGAAAUGCAUAUUUAGCCCAUAAUGGAUGAGAAGUCAGUGAUGAAGCACUAAAAUGUAUGUAUGUAACAGGAUCCAGACGCAGUACAGUAUGACAGCCAGCCUGGCAACAUAGUAAGUACGGGCUAAUGGCAAUCUGAAUUAUGCACAAUUCCUGCUGUGCUAAUCAAUGGGUGGUUUACAGAAUUCACUAACUGUAAGAUGCCUGUAUACAUGACAUCUGAACAAGCAAAUAGAGCUGGCAGAUGCACAGAUUGCUGUAAGUAAAAGGACUCUCCAGGAUCUGGACCUUGGUAUAGAAAUCAAGAAGAGAACACUGAGGAAACUAGAUCUGGAGAUCCAGAAACUAGAAAAAGAAGUAAGUGACUUCAAUCCACACAGUUUUACAGAUGUGCUUACAAUGUAUUAAUCAUGUUUUUCUUUCUCUCUCCCAAGCUCCAAACUGACAAGGGACAGCACUAAAAUAAGAAGCAUUGUGGUGUUCCCUGUGUGAUGAAUGUACACUACACUAUGCAAAGUUAUUGGUUCAGUGAGGUGAGACGAAAAUUGAGGUUAUGAAACCAAAGUAAGCUACUAUAAUAUCAAAAAACAUUAGGCCUAAUUAAGGAGUAACACAAACAAUCCUUUAUUAGAGAAGGACAAGACAAUGAAAUCAUUUAUCUGAAAUAAUUUAUGUAUUGGUCUCUGACCAGCCUGCCAUUAAUGUCAUCUGGGAAUAUAGCUGCAUUGUCCCACUCAAUCUCCGGUGCCACUGCUGGACCCCUUUCCUUCCUCAGACAGGUAAUAUUAUGUAGGACCGUGCAGGCUACAGUAAUGUCACAGGCCCUGUCUGGGGUGACCCUCAGGUGGUGGAGACACUGAAAUCAUGACUUGAGAAGGCCAAAUGCCAUCUCAAUUCCGGCCCUUGUUCUUGCAUGGGGAAGAUUGUAUCCUUGCUGUGCUGCUGUCUGAGGGUCUGCAAGGGGAGUGAGAAGGUAUGUCUCACAGGCAUAACCCUUGUCUCCCAGCAGAACGCCAGAGAAUUCACCUGAGAAUACAAAAUGUAAUCAUUACAACUACACAUAAGUAAAACCUUUGACGCAAUUGUGUUUAUCAGGAAAAUGUGUGUGGCCUACCUUGUGAUAGUCGCUGGGAAAUGGUACUGGACCUAAAAACUCGGGAGUCAUGGACAGACCCAGGCCACUUUGCCUCCACAUUGGUAAUGAUGCAGGCAGCAUCACAGAUCAUCUGAAACAAUGCAGUGUUUCCUAUUCAGUAUACAUGUCAUGCACAGAAUACAUUUGGGC
This is a long non-coding RNA of Esox lucius (northern pike), 1912 nucleotides long. Lineage: Eukaryota; Metazoa; Chordata; Actinopteri; Esociformes; Esocidae. The record is from Ensembl.